This 24-nucleotide non-coding RNA is filed under the name Arabidopsis thaliana (thale cress). The record is from RNAcentral. Lineage: Eukaryota; Viridiplantae; Streptophyta; Magnoliopsida; Brassicales; Brassicaceae.
AUGCGGAGAUGGACAUCCACAUGU